RNAcentral lists this ribosomal RNA (331 nucleotides) under Rhipicephalus jeanneli. RNAcentral's name for it is "partial 16S ribosomal RNA". The record is from RNAcentral. Lineage: Eukaryota; Metazoa; Arthropoda; Arachnida; Ixodida; Ixodidae.
UCUGCUCAAUGAUUUUUUAAAUUGCUGUGGUAUUUUGACUAUACAAAGGUAUUGAAAUAAGAUUUUAAUUGAAUGCUAAGAGAAUGGAAUUUCAGAAAAAAGCUUUUUUUAAAUUAAAAAUUGAACUUUUUUUAAUUUGUGCAGAAACAAUUAUUAAUAUUAAGGACAAGAAGACCCUAUGAAUUUAUUAAAUUUAUAUUAAUGAGAAUUUCACAUUAAUAAAUUUUGGCUGGGGCGGCAAGAAAAUAUUGAAAACUUUUCAAAAAUAAAAUGACCCAUUAUUAAUGAUUACAUGUUAAAUACUCUAGGGAUAACAGCGUAAUAUUUUUUG